This 354-nucleotide small nuclear RNA is filed under the name Cebus imitator (Panamanian white-faced capuchin). RNAcentral's name for it is "7SK RNA (ENSCCAG00000000825.1)". The stretch from base 1 to 315 matches the Rfam family "7SK RNA". Rfam says of the family: 7SK was discovered as an abundant small nuclear RNA in the mid-70s but a possible function has only recently been suggested. Lineage: Eukaryota; Metazoa; Chordata; Mammalia; Primates; Cebidae. The record is from RNAcentral.
AGGUGUGAGGGUGAUCUGGCUUCGACAUCUGUCAUUGAUUGCCAGGGUUGUUUGGUUGAUCUGGCUGGUUAGGCAGGUGUCCCCUUCUCCCCUCACCACUCUGUGUGCCUCCCUCUGAAAGCUGCACACUCGGUCCAAGAGGAUGACCAUCCCCAACAGAAGAGGACUGGUCUUCAGUCAAGGGCAUAUGAGUAGCUGCACUUCUCUGAUAGAACCUCCAAACAGGCUCUGAAAAAAAUGAUGGCAUUUUCUAAUGUCAACUAAUAAUGUGGAGAGAGUACUGGAAUUAAAUCAUCAUUUUGCAAAAAUUAUAAUAAAACUGGUCAGGCAGGGAUCAUCAAUGGAUAUUAAUUG